Molecule: transfer RNA, 83 nt
Filed under: Peniophora lycii
Lineage: Eukaryota; Fungi; Basidiomycota; Agaricomycetes; Russulales; Peniophoraceae
Also listed under: 1 other name
Description: tRNA-Tyr
Rfam family: tRNA
About the family: Transfer RNA (tRNA) molecules are approximately 80 nucleotides in length. Their secondary structure includes four short double-helical elements and three loops (D, anti-codon, and T loops). Further hydrogen bonds mediate the characteristic L-shaped molecular structure. tRNAs have two regions of fundamental functional importance: the anti-codon, which is responsible for specific mRNA codon recognition, and the 3' end, to which the tRNAs corresponding amino acid is attached (by aminoacyl-tRNA synthetases). tRNAs cope with the degeneracy of the genetic code in two manners: having more than one tRNA (with a specific anti-codon) for a particular amino acid; and 'wobble' base-pairing, i.e. permitting non-standard base-pairing at the 3rd anti-codon position.
Source: RNAcentral
GGGCAGGUGAUCUGAUUGGUAAUAGUGAUUAUCUGUAAAAUAAUUGGUUAACGCCGUAAAAGGUUCGAUUCCUUUACUGCUCA